AGUGAACGCUGGCGGUAGGCCUAACACAUGCAAGUCGAACGGCAGCACAGUAAGAGCUUGCUCUUACGGGUGGCGAGUGGCGGACGGGUGAGGAAUACAUCGGAAUCUACUUUUUCGUGGGGGAUAACGUAGGGAAACUUACGCUAAUACCGCAUACGACCUACGGGUGAAAGCAGGGGAUCUUCGGACCUUGCGCGAUCGAAUGAGCCGAUGUCGGAUUAGCUAGUUGGCGGGGUAAAGGCCCACCAAGGCGACAAUCCGUAGCUGGUCUGAGAGGAUGAUCAGCCACACUGGAACUGAGACACGGUCCAGACUCCUACGGGAGGCAGCAGUGGGGAAUAUUGGACAAUGGGCGCAAGCCUGAUCCAGCCAUACCGCGUGGGUGAAGAAGGCCUUCGGGUUGUAAAGCCCUUUUGUUGGGAAAGAAAAGCAGCAGGUUAAUACCCCGCUGUUCUGACGGUACCCAAAGAAUAAGCACCGGCUAACUUCGUG
Molecule: ribosomal RNA, 492 nt
Filed under: uncultured bacterium
Lineage: Bacteria
Description: partial 16S ribosomal RNA
Rfam family: Bacterial small subunit ribosomal RNA
Source: RNAcentral